Molecule: small nucleolar RNA, 107 nt
Organism: Humulus lupulus (European hop)
Lineage: Eukaryota; Viridiplantae; Streptophyta; Magnoliopsida; Rosales; Cannabaceae
Source: RefSeq, a predicted model, not a curated record
AUACCAUGAUGUGGACACCUUCUUAACAACUCUUUAAAUCUUUCCCAUGCAUCAUACAAUGAUUCCUCUUCUGUCUGGUGGAAAUUAUCGAUUUCCCUUCUCAACUU